CUGUGAUGUCUGCAUUCCUGGCUUUUUCUCAUUGACUUUUGCUUACAGGAUGGGAGAAGGCAGUACGAUGAAGGCUCUGAAAAGUCUCUGUGGCAGUUGUUUCUGGAUUUCAGAAUGUGCUUUUAGGUUGCCAUCACCAUAGGCUUCUCAAAUCAAUAAGCCACAGAGCACCUUUGAUAGCAAAAGAUGAGACAGACUCCUGCAGCAUGCUCCUUGGGACUGGGGCCCUCCACUGUCCACAGACAGGAUUCUUGCUCCUUUGCUGGAUGCUUGAAUGAUAUGCUUUUGUGUAAACAUCCUUGGUGCACAAUAUUCAACUGGGAUUCAAGAAAGCUUGAGCUGUCUCUAGUCUUUGUCAAAACAACAAAAGGACUUUGUCAGCCAGAAAUACCUUUAACUUAAACAGAUUAUUUUAGUUCCACCUGUGUGUGCAUGGCCUGGGAAGGAUGCACUGGCCCUGGAGUUGGCAGAUGAGUGGGAUCUGGCCACCAAGUAAUGUGAGGACUCUCUAUGGGAGGAGCAGGAAGUCUUCCCUUCUGCUUCUGGGAGAGUGCGUGGGAGGGCAGAGAGGAGUCCAGGCUUCCUGGGGCUGUGAAGAAAGACAAGGAAGCAGGUGCAGGUGUCCUUGCAGGCCUGUUGGGAAUCAUCGUGGGCACUUGAAGGGAUGGAGGGAACAUUGCUAUCUCAGAACUCUUUUGGAAUAUCACCAGAUAUCAUGCAACUAAGUCUCUACUGGAAGAGUCUGCUGAAACAUGGAGUGAAUAAGAGUCCACAGGCAGCCGAUGAUUUAGCCCCGUCCCUGGCUCAGUACUGUUUGCAUGGGGUGUCUUUCCACAUUGACAUCUUUGAAGAUACAACACCACAGGAAUGUCAUGAGUAUAUUCUGGGCAUCGCUGAGGUCACCCUCCAUUCAUCCAACCAGUGCUUAGAGAACACAUACUGUGUGCCACUGUGCACAGCUGCAGUGUUUUUAAAAAAG
Molecule: long non-coding RNA, 979 nt
Filed under: Cricetulus griseus (Chinese hamster)
Lineage: Eukaryota; Metazoa; Chordata; Mammalia; Rodentia; Cricetidae
Description: lncRNA (ENSCGRG00015040337.1)
Source: RNAcentral